RNAcentral lists this ribosomal RNA (468 nucleotides) under uncultured bacterium. RNAcentral describes it as "partial 16S ribosomal RNA". It matches the Rfam family "Bacterial small subunit ribosomal RNA", at positions 28 to 507 of the family's 1533-position model. The record is from RNAcentral.
GACGAACGCUGGCGGCGUGCUUAACACAUGCAAGUCGAACGGAAAGGCCCUGCUUUUGUGGGGUGCUCGAGUGGCGAACGGGUGAGUAACACGUGAGUAACCUGCCCUUGACUUUGGGAUAACUUCAGGAAACUGGGGCUAAUACCGGAUAGGAGCUCCUGCUGCAUGGUGGGGGUUGGAAAGUUUCGGCGGUUGGGGAUGGACUCGCGGCUUAUCAGCUUGUUGGUGGGGUAGUGGAUUACCAAGGCUUUGACGGGUAGCCGGCCUGAGAGGGUGGCCGGCCACAUUGGGACUGAGAUACGGCCCAGACUCCUACGUGAGGCAGCAGUGGGGAACAUUGCACAAUGGGCGGAAGCCUGAUGCGGCAACGCCGCGUGCGGGAUGACGGCCUUCGGGUUGUAAACCGCUUUCGCCUGUGACGAAGCGUGAGUGACGGUAAUGGGUAAAGAAGCACCGGCUAACUACGUG